UACGGAGGGUGCAAGCGUUGCUCGGAAUUAUUGGGCGUAAAGGGGAGGUAGGCGGUCUUACUCGUCUGGGGUGAAAGCCCUGAGCUUAACUCAGGACGUGCCUUGGAUACGGUAAGACUAGAGUCCUGGAGAGGGUCGCGGAAUUCUCGGUGUAGCGGUGAAAUGCGUAGAGAUCGAGAGGAACAUCAGAGGCGAAGGCGGCGACCUGGACAGGUACUGACGCUAAACUCCGAAAGCGUGGGGAGCGAACAGG
RNAcentral lists this unclassified non-coding RNA (253 nucleotides) under uncultured Oligoflexales bacterium. RNAcentral's name for it is "contains 16S-23S intergenic spacer region". It matches the Rfam family "Bacterial small subunit ribosomal RNA", at positions 524 to 776 of the family's 1533-position model. Lineage: Bacteria; Pseudomonadati; Bdellovibrionota; Oligoflexia; Oligoflexales. The record is from RNAcentral.